This 282-nucleotide unclassified non-coding RNA is filed under the name Hevea brasiliensis (rubber tree). The record is from RNAcentral. Lineage: Eukaryota; Viridiplantae; Streptophyta; Magnoliopsida; Malpighiales; Euphorbiaceae.
GUGGUUCCAACUAAAACAGGACGACCUUGUCUGAACAUGUAUUCAACUUCUUGGCGAACAUAUUCCCAUUUUCCCCUAGCAGUAGCAAAAGCUUGGAUAGGUAAAUCUUUGCGUAUGUUUGGCAAGUUUGUGGGCACUUCAAUUACAGGUGUCUGAAACAUUUUCAAGAACUCCUUCUCCUCAGUUUUUGCGGUUCCAGUCAUCCCUGAUAACUUUGGAUAGAGCUUGAACAGCGACUGGUACGUGAUUUGUGCCACUAUAACUGAAUCAGCCUGAAUCUUC